AGAAUGUGCAGGACAGUUGGCCAUCAAUUCUUUGCUGUUUAAUGGAUCUGACGGGCCUAGCUUCCCAACAACUCUUGAUCCAAAACAAACUUGGGACGCAAUGCUUGCAGCCAUCAACACUGCCCGGAAGACAAUUUCAAUAUGCUUGCAUGUUCUUUAGAUGAAACAAAAUAAAGAGGAAAGCCUGAUCAGAUUCGGAUAAGAGACAUGGCCUUCAUUGAUUUUUCUAGUCCAAAUCUUAUAUUGAUUUCUUUGUUUCUUAACUGAACUGGAUUGAUCAUUUUGAUCAUGUAGUGCAACCUUUCCACCUCAAAUUGACUUAUAGCUAUAUUAUUGGACUUCACCACCAGCAUUUAGGAUUUUACUGCAUUAUGUUCAACAGUAUGUAGAGAUCUUACAGUGUCUUUAAAACUUUGUGAGAAAUUGGACUUCCUAGCAUCCGUUCAAUGGCAGACUUCACAUUUGAUUAGAGUGGUAGAUGAUUGAGAACAACAACAAUUUGCCUAAGGCCUUAAGUCAUUAGAGCAGAAGAGUGUAGCAAUAAA
RNAcentral lists this long non-coding RNA (545 nucleotides) under Phoenix dactylifera (date palm). Its description in RNAcentral is "long non-coding RNA (PDAC_LNC022053)". Lineage: Eukaryota; Viridiplantae; Streptophyta; Magnoliopsida; Arecales; Arecaceae. The record is from RNAcentral.